GGUGUCAAAACCUCUUGCUGCAGUAAACCAACUUCGAAACUCUUGCUCCUGCGUUUGGUUGAACCGAGUUCGAACGCCAUCCCCACAAUCUCGCCUUAAUCUCUGCCAUCAUUCNAAAGAUCAAAAGAAGGGGUUGAACAGGAUCAACAGUUGAAACACAAGCUUUAGGUGUCAAAACCUCUUGCUGCAGUAAACCAACUUCGAAACUCUUGCUCCUGCGUUGGUUGAACCGAGUUCGAACGCCAUCCCCACAAUCUCGCCUUAAUCUCUGCCAUCAUUCUUGCCUUGUUCCAACUUCCUUGAUUGAAAAUACAAUUGUUUCGAGUCUUCCAAAUGCUCCAAAUCACACACAACCAGACACCAAGGAAGAAAUCCACAUCUUUAUUGCUCCCCAAAUUCACAAAAGCAUUGAAAUGGGCUUUGGUUUGAAAAUGAAGAACAGCUUGCUUACCUGUCCAACUCAAGAUUU
This 469-nucleotide long non-coding RNA is filed under the name Salvia miltiorrhiza (redroot sage). Its description in RNAcentral is "long non-coding RNA (SMIL_LNC005537)". The record is from RNAcentral. Lineage: Eukaryota; Viridiplantae; Streptophyta; Magnoliopsida; Lamiales; Lamiaceae.